GAAGAGAAGGACUGAGACACUCCCAGUCAUUAGUUUUCUUCAGUGGCACUUUGUUUCUUUCGGACAGUGAAAAGAGGCCCUCGGAGAUGCGACAGUUCCCUUGCAGUUUAUCAAUGAAAAUCUAAUAUCGUCCAUAAGGAGAGAAGUGAAAAUCAAUACUUCAUUACCAAAUUGUUCCCGUAACAACUGCUUUCAAGCUCAGGUACUUUGGUCACGUGCACACAUGCGCACAUUUUGUUGCUCCUGGCUUCUGUAGGAUCUGCACCUGGGAGACCAGAGCUGCGUGGUGAGGGGCGUUUUUAGCCCACCCUUGAGGAGGAACACUGUUAGUUAUCAGGGUAGUCUUUUCCUUGGAACAUAGGAGUAGGAGUGACAUGCUAGCUAUGAUCACACUACUGGAAAGAAAUCUCAACUUUUGAACUUCUUUUAAAGCUUGGCUGGUAAUAAAUCUCCCAGGUGUAUCAAAUGAGUGACAGACACAUCAGGACAUGAGCCAGGCAGGCAGCUGCCCAGGGCUUGAGGCUGGAGACCUUUCUAAUCAGCAGCAGAGCAAACAGGUUCCACGGGUCCUCCCUCUGCUGUCACCGGUCUCAACUGGCUGUGCAAUGAGAGAGUAGGGAGCGCUGCUUAAUACAAUCCCUUUCUGCCUGUUUUAUGGGGGCCCUUGUUAGCUUUCUCUAGCUGUGACCAAACUUUCAACCAAAACAGCGUAACAGAGGAAAGACUUCUGCUCAGCGUGCUGAAGAUUUCAAUCCACCAUGGCAGAGAAGAUGCUGAAGAAAAGGGGGAGACAGGAAGGGGACAAGCUAUGGCCCUCCCCCACUUCACCACCACCAAAUAAUGUGCCAGUUAUGAACUUGUCUUUGUUAGGGUUUUACUGCUGUGAACAGACACCGUGACCAAGGCAUCUCUUAUAAAGAACAACAUUUCAUUGGGGCUGGCUUACAGUUUCAGAGGUUCAGUCCAUUAUCAUCAAGGUAGGAGCAUGGCAACCUCCAGGCAGGCAUGGUGCAGGAGGAGCUGUGAGUUUUACAUCUUCACCUGCAGGCCUCUGAGAGAAGACUGACUUCCAGGCACCUAGGACCAGGGUAUUAAAGCCCAUGCACGUAGUGCCACACCCACUCCAACAAGGCCACACCUUCUAAUAGUGCCAUUCCCUAGCCCAAGCUUGUACAAGCCAUCACAGAACUCAUUAAAGGAUUCAUCCUUUGAUUUGGCCUCAGGGUUGCACGUGUCCCAGACACACCCAGAGGUAGGCAUCAGUAAUUUCUUAAGCGCUCUUUAUUCCAGACCAGUUAGCAUUAAGGUCUCCCUGAGCUACACCCCAAAAUGGCUCAAGACCUUCUGUGUGUCUUUGUGUAAAAUGGCUGUUGGAUGGAGCCAUCAGAGACAGGGGUACCACUCCUGGGACACCGCGAGAGGCAGGCGAGAAGAUCCGAGGCCUCCUGAGAGUGGGGCCAACGCUGUCACCGAGUGUCACCUGCAUCAUCACUCGUGUGUCAGCUCAGAUGAUCUCAGUGGCAGAUCUUUCCUUAGCUCACACUCCUCAUCCUCAGGCGCCCUCGUGGUUAAGAAGCCGGAAAGAAAGCUGGCAUGAAGCUUCGCCCAAGAACCCCUCCUGACGGCUAGUGACGGGAUUAUGGGGUUUUAACUGCUGAAUGGUCAUCCCCAAUUAUAAUCAAAGGUCUGUCAGUCUAAAUAAAAACGAUAAGGCAGGGAGCCAGCCCCUGCUAUCCGCCCCUCUCCACUCCCCACGAGCUUUUAAACACCAAUCUGUCCCCAGAAUGAUGCUUCGACAGGGCUUGGGUUUAAUAGUUAUUGAAAAGAAACGGAACUCAGUGUUAAGUAAAACUUAACUCUUUUUUUGUAAUAAAGAAUGGUUAAAAUUAUUGUUAUUAUUAAAGACAGAAAGGGAUACUC
Molecule: long non-coding RNA, 1920 nt
Filed under: Mus pahari (shrew mouse)
Lineage: Eukaryota; Metazoa; Chordata; Mammalia; Rodentia; Muridae
Description: lncRNA (MGP_PahariEiJ_G0005617.1)
Source: RNAcentral